This 80-nucleotide transfer RNA is filed under the name Aureococcus anophagefferens. The record is from RNAcentral. Lineage: Eukaryota; Pelagophyceae; Pelagomonadales; Pelagomonadaceae.
GAAUCAGGUAACUUACUCGUACGUUAUAGUAACCGGAUUUUAACGCUGUGUGAAGAAAGUUCAAGAGCAUUAGAUGAUUU